RNAcentral lists this ribosomal RNA (303 nucleotides) under Triticum aestivum (bread wheat). RNAcentral's name for it is "partial small subunit ribosomal RNA". Lineage: Eukaryota; Viridiplantae; Streptophyta; Magnoliopsida; Poales; Poaceae. The record is from RNAcentral.
AUGGCGGGGCGCAAGGAGACGGCGCUCGACCUGGCCAAGUUCGUCGACAAGGGCGUCCAGGUCAAGCUCACCGGCGGCCGCCAAGUUACAGGAACCUUGAAGGGAUAUGACCAGCUGCUCAACUUAGUGCUGGAUGAAGCAGUCGAGUCUGAAAGAGAGCAAGAUGACCCGUUGAAGCUGUCAACCAAGACCAGACAACUUGGUCUCAUUGUGUGCAGAGGCACUGCUGUCAUGCUGGUGUCACCAACUGAUGGAACCGACGAGAUUGCCAACCCCUUCCUCGCAGCGGAGGGGGCGUCAUAA